GACAGAGGGGGCAAGCGUUGCUCGGAAUUACUGGGCGUAAAGGGCGCGUAGGCGGGAUUGCAAGUCGGUCGUGAAAUCCCUCGGCUCAACUGAGGAUCGUCGAUCGAUACUGCCGUUCUUGAGGAUUGCAGAGGAGACUGGAAUUCCCGGUGUAGCGGUGAAAUGUGUAGAGAUCGGGAGGAACACCGGUGGCGAAGGCGGGUCUCUGGGCAAUUCCUGACGCUGAGGCGCGAAAGCGUGGGGAGCAAACGGG
This 253-nucleotide ribosomal RNA is filed under the name uncultured bacterium. Its description in RNAcentral is "partial 16S ribosomal RNA". It matches the Rfam family "Bacterial small subunit ribosomal RNA", at positions 524 to 776 of the family's 1533-position model. The record is from RNAcentral.